RNAcentral lists this ribosomal RNA (713 nucleotides) under uncultured bacterium. Its description in RNAcentral is "bacterial SSU rRNA". It matches the Rfam family "Bacterial small subunit ribosomal RNA", at positions 61 to 764 of the family's 1533-position model. The record is from RNAcentral.
GUCGAGGGGCAGCAUGAACUUAGCUUGCUAAGUUUGAUGGCGACCGGCGCACGGGUGAGUAACACGUAUCCAACCUGCCGAUGACUCGGGGAUAGCCUUUCGAAAGAAAGAUUAAUACCCGAUGGCAUAGUUCUUCCGCAUGGUAGGACUAUUAAAGAAUUUCGGUCAUCGAUGGGGAUGCGUUCCAUUAGCUUGUUGGCGGGGUAACGGCCCACCAAGGCAUCGAUGGAUAGGGGUUCUGAGAGGAAGGUCCCCCACAUUGGAACUGAGACACGGUCCAAACUCCUACGGGAGGCAGCAGUGAGGAAUAUUGGUCAAUGGGCGCUAGCCUGAACCAGCCAAGUAGCGUGAAGGAUGACUGCCCUAUGGGUUGUAAACUUCUUUUAUAUGGGAAUAAAGUGCAGUAUGUAUACUGCUUUGCAUGUACCUUAUGAAUAAGGAUCGGCUAACUCCGUGCCAGCAGCCGCGGUAAUACGGAGGAUCCGAGCGUUAUCCGGAUUUAUUGGGUUUAAAGGGAGCGUAGGCGGGUUGUUAAGUCAGUUGUGAAAGUUUGCGGCUCAACCGUAAAAUUGCAGUUGAUACUGGCAUCCUUGAGUACAGUAGAGGUAGGCGGAAUUCGUGGUGUAGCGGUGAAAUGCUUAGAUAUCACGAAGAACUCCGAUUGCGAAGGCAGCCUGCUGGACUGUAACUGACGCUGAUGCUCGAAAGUGUGG